RNAcentral lists this long non-coding RNA (297 nucleotides) under Lathyrus oleraceus (garden pea). RNAcentral describes it as "Pisum sativum (pea) long non-coding RNA (PSAT_LNC018588)". Lineage: Eukaryota; Viridiplantae; Streptophyta; Magnoliopsida; Fabales; Fabaceae. The record is from RNAcentral.
UAUUAAUAAUAAUAAUAAAAUGAUAAUAAACAUAAUAAUAAUCAUAAAUAAUAUAGUAAUAAUAGUAUAUAAAUGAUAAUCAAUAAUAAUAAUAUAAUAAUAACAAUAUUAAUAAUGAUAAUAAUAGUGAUAAAAAAAUUUAAAAAGAAAGAAGAAAAAAAAAAAAACAAAAAGAAAAGGGUGUGUAGCUCGGUGACAGUAAUAGAAAGAGGAAAAGAUUUUAACACCCCCAUUCAGACGUUAACACUUGGCAGGGGGAGAACAAAAAUUAAAAAAACUUCUUCUUCCUUGUUUCAG